UACAGAGGUCCCAAGCGUUGUUCGGAAUCAUUGGGCGUAAAGGGCGCGUAGGUGGUUCUGUAUGUCUGCCGUGAAAGGGUACAGCUCAACUGUAGCUUGUCGGCAGAAACUGCAGGACUUGAGGCUGGGAGGGGCUGGUGGAAUUCCCUGUGUAGCGGUGAAAUGCGUAGAGAUGGGGGAGAACACUCGUGGCGAAGGCGGCCAGCUAGACCAGUUCUGACACUGAGGCGCGACAGCGUGGGGAGCAAACAGG
RNAcentral lists this ribosomal RNA (253 nucleotides) under uncultured bacterium. RNAcentral's name for it is "partial 16S ribosomal RNA". It matches the Rfam family "Bacterial small subunit ribosomal RNA", at positions 524 to 776 of the family's 1533-position model. The record is from RNAcentral.